AUGGGGAAAGGCAAGGCUAGUCUUGAUGAGUCGGACGUCGCCGAACUCCUGGCAAUGAAGGGCGAAUUUCUGCAGCACCGUGACGAAACUGCAGAGCUGCGUGGAGAAGUCGACGAUCUCCGCAAGGAUGUGCACGGCAUUGGCCUCAAGCAGGAUACCAUGGUGUCGGUGCUGGAUGGAGUCCAAAAAGCUGUUUCGUCUCUGAAUACACAGCUUGCAGCUAUGGCAGACGUGCUCAAAUCCAUGACACUCUCAGAUGCAUCUACAUCCGCACAACCAGGCCAACCAGUUUCUGAGCAACAGAUCCCAAACAAUGAGGCAAGUGCACCUGAGGACAGACCACUGACUGAAGAUUUGCGCAAACGCCUUGCACUUGAACAGGCCAAGACUCGUCAGUUGGCGGCACAAAUACCCCCUAACCUCGCACCAAUUCAGGUUCCUCGGCCCUCUGUUCCUCCAGGGUUUGGUACGGCUGCAACCAUAGACGCUCCUUCUGGUAAUGCAACUCCUACAGCAGCUUACAAAACUGCUCGUACACCCACUUUCAACAAUUUUCGGGCUGCCAGGGUGCGCCAGGGUUGGGAUGAAUUUCCCAAACAGUAUGAACAGGAGAUGAGAACACAAUUCCUUAAGAGCAUCACCAAAGGCCCUCGCAUGGAUUUCCCACGAUUUGAUGGUGAAAAUCCAGCAGGAUGGAUCUGUCAGUGCGAUAAAUACUUUCAGAUGGCAGGGGCACCGGCAGAGUACAAAGUCAGCCUUGCUCAACUGUACAUAGUGGGAAAAGCUGAUGUAUGGUUACGUCGCUCAGGCAUACUGAAAAAGCAAUUAACUUGGUCUUAA
Molecule: ribosomal RNA, 840 nt
Filed under: Triticum aestivum (bread wheat)
Lineage: Eukaryota; Viridiplantae; Streptophyta; Magnoliopsida; Poales; Poaceae
Description: partial small subunit ribosomal RNA
Source: RNAcentral